CUUUAUGCAUAUGCAUGGUCUAUCUUAGUAUAACUUCAUCAAUAAAACCAUUUCAAAUUUUGAUAGCACAAUAUUACCUUAUUGCUUAAAAUAUCCAUCUCUGUUAAGAGAAUAGCUUUGUAUUUGCGAUAAGAAUCACAAUAUUGUCUAGCCACUUGAUUUUAAUGCUUAGGCACAGUCAAUGGCAUGUGAGAAUUGUUUCCAAAUUUAUGACCUGCAGGAUAUUGGUUUCCUAUGAGCCCACUGAACACCACAAGGGGGCAGAGUUGCCUAAGCCCAUCAAUUAGCUAAACAAAAUUUGCAACUAUGAUACUUUCUAUUGUCUUGUCUGUUACAUUAUUAUAAUUUAUUUUCAGGAUUAUUUCCUAGCCAUGACAUCAAUCUUCAUUCCUACCCCCUUAAAAAACUGAUACUUAUGUCUCGGAAUUAUCUGUGGAUUUGUCUGAACCCAGUUUUUCU
RNAcentral lists this long non-coding RNA (459 nucleotides) under Homo sapiens (human). RNAcentral's name for it is "non-protein coding lnc-VAV3-10:1". The record is from RNAcentral. Lineage: Eukaryota; Metazoa; Chordata; Mammalia; Primates; Hominidae.